GACGAACGCUGGCGGCGUGCCUAAUACAUGCAAGUAGAACGCUGAAGGCGGAGCUUGCUCUUCUGGAUGAGUUGCGAACGGGUGAGUAACGCGUAGGUAACCUGCCUUUUAGCGGGGGAUAACUUCUGGAAACGAUAGCUAAUACCGCAUGACAACAGCUACUGCAUGAUAACUGUUGGAAAGGGGCAACUGCUCCACUACGACAUGCACCUGCGUUGCAUUAGCUAGUUGGUGAGGUAUAGGCUCACUAAGGCGACGAUACAUAGCCGACCUGAGAGGGUGAUCGGCCACACUGGGACUGAGACACGGCCCAGACUCCUACGGGAGGCAGCAGUAGGGAAUCUUCGGCAAUGGACGGAAGUCUGACCGAGCAACGCCGCGUGAGUGAAGAAGGUUUUCGGAUCGUAAAGCUCUGUUGUAAGAGAAGAACGAGUGUGAGAGUGGAAAGUUCACACUGUGACGGUAUCUUACCAGAAAGGGACGGCUAACUACGUG
RNAcentral lists this ribosomal RNA (495 nucleotides) under uncultured bacterium. RNAcentral describes it as "partial 16S ribosomal RNA". It matches the Rfam family "Bacterial small subunit ribosomal RNA", at positions 28 to 507 of the family's 1533-position model. The record is from RNAcentral.